AUGGCAACCCACUCCAGUGUUCUUGCCUGGAGAAUCCCAGGGACGGGGGAGCCUGGUGGGCUGCUGUCUAUGGGAUCGCAGAGUUGGACACGACUGAAGCGACUUAGCAGCAGCAGCAGCAGCGGCUCUAUAGUCUACAAAAGAUCUGGUGGUGGCAGUGCCUGGAAUGGUGGCGUUUCCAUCUCAAAGCUGCAAGUGGCAUUUUGGGGGAGAGGAACAUAUCAUAAGAGACCUCCUGCAUACAGGGAGAACCCACAACUGCACCCAUAGCUGCUGUCCAUGGUGCUGAUCAUCUAAAGAAAGCGUGCUGCAAGAGAAGAAGCAUCAGAAAAAUCAUUAUGAAAUUUGCAUGAGUAAACCUAAGGAUCCUGUCUUCUACUCCUCCACGAUCAAACAGAAUAGGUUUCCAAAACUGGGUAAGUGAGCAUGCAUGAUUAGAGACUCCUGAUCCCAUCCUUGUAACAUCAACGUAACAUCCACAAGUACUGAGGAACACAGUACUAGAGCCACAGGAAACCUGGAAAGAGCCAAAGUUGGGAGCAGACUUAAUGAUUACCAUGGAGUUCCCACACUUAGCCAAUCCUGUGCUACUGAGGACUAAGCCCUAGUAUCAGUUUAACCAAGCCUUCUAAAUCACUUCAGAUUCUCCUCUAACUCUCCAGAAGAUUUAAGAUCUCCUGGUAUUUCUCAUGACUGGCUUCUUGAGUCCCCAAACCUUGAACCUCUAAAACUCAGAAUCUUUGCAGACUCUGCAUUACAAAAACUUUCAAAAAGCAGAAGCAAAUUUUAGAUAAAUUGAUACAACAGAGAAGACAGUGUUUCACUGAGACAGUAAUCAAGAGCAAGUGCCAAAGAAGGGGAAAUGGGGGAAAUUAUGGAAGAUUCACUGUUUUGAAACCCAGAAUUUACCUGAAUUUUGCUUUUGGGAAAACAACCACUGUCUCACUCUCAAACCAUGUGUUUUGGGUAAAGAUGAUUCCAAACCUAAGCAUGUGAUCCAAGCCUAAGCCUGUCAAUGCAUUCUCUAUUCUAAUCACAGCUUUCAGGUAGAGGUUGGGAUAUGCUUCAAACAAGGUAAUAAAGCCUAAUUAGGACAAUUCA
Molecule: long non-coding RNA, 1101 nt
Organism: Bos indicus x Bos taurus (hybrid cattle)
Lineage: Eukaryota; Metazoa; Chordata; Mammalia; Artiodactyla; Bovidae
Source: Ensembl